CAGGACACAGGGGCUCUGCGGCUUCUGGUGUUGAGUGUCCUGGGCAGCUGCUGCUGCCCUGAUCUCCCGCCCUUGUUCACUUGGGGAAAGCACCUGUUUUUUGGGUACUUUUGAAUGUUUGACAAAACCUACUACUUACUAUGGUACUACGUGUGUCAGAGUUCAGCAGUGGAUGUCAGUGUUGCUGCUACUGCCUGGAGGAUGUGGUGUGGGAAAAGGUGCAAUGCACUUCGAACCAGGUGUUACUCGGCUCAUUAGAAGAUACCUGCACUUCAAGGUUUGAUUUAUUUGAAGAGCUGAAUCUGAUAAUAAACUGAAGUCAGGACCAUGAUGUAGACCCAGAUUUCUUUUCACAUGACAGAAUCCUGUGUCUGGGGAGGAUGGAAAGCUGUUGAGGUUUAAAGACUGUCUUGGGUUGCAAUGCAAGAUGUAACCAAAAGUUUGUAUUUUAUUACCAUCUAGUCUGGAAUUCAAGAGCCAUUUGUUUAUUUGGUUGGCAUUUUCAGUCUGUUUUGUGUGACUUUAUCUUAGUUCCAUGUCUAAUCAGUUGUGGUCUCACUGUUGUAUCAUGGAUUGAUCAGUAUUAGUCUGUCUUUACAAACUGCCUUGCUGCAGGGUGAUGCUGAACUGGUAUAUCUCUACAUUAUCUACCUGGAAGCUG
Poecile atricapillus (Black-capped chickadee) is the source of this 661-nucleotide long non-coding RNA. RefSeq lists it as uncharacterized. Lineage: Eukaryota; Metazoa; Chordata; Aves; Passeriformes; Paridae. The transcript is spliced from 4 exons. The record is from RefSeq and is a predicted model, not a curated record.